UGCGCAGGCGGACCUAUUAGUCAGUGGUAAAAUCCCGGGGCUCAACUCCGGAACUGCCAUUGAUACUGUAGGUCUUGAGUUUGGUUGAAGUGGGCGGAAUGUAGCAUGUAGCGGUGAAAUGCAUAGAUAUGCUACAGAACACCGAUCGCGAAGGCAGCUCACUAAACCAAAACUGACGCUCAGGCACGAAAGCGUGGGUAGCGAACAGGAUUAGAUACCCUGGUAGUCC
RNAcentral lists this ribosomal RNA (229 nucleotides) under uncultured bacterium. RNAcentral's name for it is "partial 16S ribosomal RNA". It matches the Rfam family "Bacterial small subunit ribosomal RNA", at positions 568 to 796 of the family's 1533-position model. The record is from RNAcentral.